UGGGGAAUUUUGGACAAUGGGCGAAAGCCUGAUCCAGCAAUGCCGCGUGUGUGAAGAAGGCCUUCGGGUUGUAAAGCACUUUUGUCCGGAAAGAAAUCCUCUGGGUUAAUACCUCGGGGGGAGUGACGGUACCGGAAGAAUAAGCACCGGCUAACUACGUGCCAGCAGCCGCGGUAAUACGUAGGGUGCAAGCGUUAAUCGGAAUUACUGGGCGUAAAGCGUGCGCAGGCGGUUUUGUAAGACGGAUGUGAAAUCCCCGGGCUUAACCUGGGAACUGCAUUCGUGACUGCAAGGCUAGAGUAUGGCAGAGGGGGGUUAGAAUUCCACGUGUAGCAGUGAAAUGCGUAGAGAUGUGGAGGAAUACCGAUGGCGAAGGCAGCCCCCUGGGCCAAUACUGACGCUCAUGCACGAAAGCGUGGGGAGCAAACAGGAUUAGAUACCCUGGUAGUCCACGCCCUAAACGAUGUCAACUAGUUGUUGGGGAUUCAUUUCCUUAGUAACGUAGCUAACGCGUGAAGUUGACCGCCUGGGGAGUACGGUCGCAAGAUUAAAACUCAAAUGAAUUGACGGGGUCAUAGCUGUUUCC
RNAcentral lists this ribosomal RNA (586 nucleotides) under uncultured bacterium. RNAcentral describes it as "partial 16S ribosomal RNA". It matches the Rfam family "Bacterial small subunit ribosomal RNA", at positions 355 to 937 of the family's 1533-position model. The record is from RNAcentral.